RNAcentral lists this ribosomal RNA (385 nucleotides) under uncultured Methanosaeta sp. Its description in RNAcentral is "bacterial SSU rRNA". It matches the Rfam family "Archaeal small subunit ribosomal RNA", at positions 955 to 1338 of the family's 1478-position model. The record is from RNAcentral. Lineage: Archaea; Methanobacteriati; Methanobacteriota; Methanomicrobia; Methanotrichales; Methanotrichaceae.
CAGGCUGAAGACCUUACCCGAUUAGCUGAGAGGUGGUGCAUGGCCGUCGUCAGUUCGUACUGUGAAGCAUCCUGUUAAGUCAGGCAACGAGCGAGACCCACCGUCCACAGUUGCCAGCAUACCCUCCGGGGUGAUGGGUACACUGUGGAGACCGCCGCUGCUAAAGCGGAGGAAGGAGUGGGCAACGGUAGGUCAGUAUGCCCCGAAUCUCCCGGGCUACACGCGGGCUACAAUGGUUGGUACAAUGGGCAUCUACCCCGAAAGGGGAAGGAAAUCUCUUAAAGCCAAUCGUAGUUCGGAUUGAGGGCUGCAACUCGCCCUCAUGAAGCUGGAAUCCGUAGUAAUCGCGUUUCAACAGAACGCGGUGAAUACGUCCCUGCUCCUU